GACGAACGCUGGCGGCGUGCUUAACACAUGCAAGUCGAACGAUGAAGCCGGAGCUUGCUCUGGUGAAUUAGUGGCGAACGGGUGAGUAACACGUGAGUAACCUGCCCUUGACUCUGGGAUAACUGCGGGAAACUGUAGCUAAUACCGGAUACGACCCUCGGAGGCAUCUCCUGGGGGUGGAAAGAAUUUCGGUCAAGGAUGGACUCGCGGCCUAUCAGCUAGUUGGUGAGGUAAAGGCUCACCAAGGCGACGACGGGUAGCCGGCCUGAGAGGGUGGCCGGCCACACUGGGACUGAGACACGGCCUAGACGCCUACGGGAGGCAGCAGUGGGGAAUAUUGCACAGUGGGCGCAAGCCUGAUGCAGCAACGCCGCGUGAGGGAUGACGGCCUUCGGGUUGUAAACCUCUUUUAGCAGGGAAGAAGCGAAAGUGACGGUACCUGCAGAAAAAGCACCGGCUAACUACGUGCCAGCCGCCGCAGUAA
This 484-nucleotide ribosomal RNA is filed under the name uncultured bacterium. Its description in RNAcentral is "partial 16S ribosomal RNA". It matches the Rfam family "Bacterial small subunit ribosomal RNA", at positions 28 to 523 of the family's 1533-position model. The record is from RNAcentral.